UCACCAUUCACUUCUUCAUCUUCUCCCUCCAUCUUCUUCUUCUUCUUCUUCUUCUUCAUAUUAACAUCUUCACUCACCCCUCCUACUUCAACACCUUCUUUCUCUUCUUCAACUACUGCUUUGCUUGGACCCUCUUCUAUCUUUUGCCAACCUUUUUCCUCCUUGACUUUGACCUCAACUUCUUCUUCUUCAGUUGUAGAGUGAUUGAUUUAUGGGAUAUGAUUGUGUCCAUUAAUAUUGUUGCAUUUUGUUGGUUACUAUUCUCAUCCUCAUCAUGUUUCUCUUCUUUGGAAGCUUCUACUUCUGGCACUGUAGGAAUUAACUUCGCAUCAAUCAUCAUUGUUAACAUGAACGGGAAACUGAUGAUCAGAUUCCUCAACCUUAUGAUCAUGAUCAUGAUAACUUUCAUGUUCAGAUUCAACAUGAGGUGGAAUCUCAUAUUCUUUCUUAUUUUCAACCUCUUUUUGUUUCUACACAUUUUAUAGUUCCUCAAUCUCAAUAUUUUCCUUUUCAUUGAUAUCUUCUUUAACUUGUGGCUCAGCUUCAACAUGUAAACCUUCUGUAGUAGUUUCAGCUAUAGUAGUACUCUUUUCAGCAUUGGUUGAUUUAGCAGAAGAAAAAACAUCAUCAUGUACCAUCUUAGUGGUUGUUGAAGUAGCAGUAGGACUUGGGCUUAUCAAAAGAUCUUCUGUUUACACUAGGCUUUUUUGGGGCUUCACUCUUAAUAAGAUUGAAGGAGUGAGACUCAACUAGGCGUGACCUUAUUAUUGUGGGGCUUGAGAUAGUUUAGGACUGGUUUUUCUGUUGUUGGGUUUGAGGUUGUUGCCUUAUGUAUUGGGUUUGUUGUUGUGGAUGGUUUUGUGCACUUUUUUGUUCUUGUGAUAGAACAAGUGGCCUUCUUCUCCUUACCAACAACUUUACUCUCUUUUGCCUUCUUCUCCUUAUCAACAGCUUUACUCUCUUUUGCUUUUGUUGCCAUGUGAAUAAGGGUAUUAAUCUCAAGGAUAUCUUUUUACAGUUUGGG
Molecule: long non-coding RNA, 1024 nt
Filed under: Lupinus mutabilis
Lineage: Eukaryota; Viridiplantae; Streptophyta; Magnoliopsida; Fabales; Fabaceae
Description: partial ncRNA
Source: RNAcentral